This 301-nucleotide ribosomal RNA is filed under the name uncultured bacterium. RNAcentral describes it as "partial 16S ribosomal RNA". It matches the Rfam family "Bacterial small subunit ribosomal RNA", at positions 509 to 807 of the family's 1533-position model. The record is from RNAcentral.
CAGCCGCCACGGUAAUACGUAGGGUGCAAGCGUUAAUCGGAAUUACUGGGCGUAAAGCGUGCGCAGGCGGUUCUAUAAGACAGAUGUGAAAUCCCCGGGCUCAACCCGGGAACUGCAUUUGUGACUGUAGAGCUGGAGUGCGGCAGAGGGGGAUGGAAUUCCGCGUGUAGCAGUGAAAUGCGUAGAUAUGCGGAGGAACACCGAUGGCGAAGGUAAUCCCCUGGGCCUGCACUGACGCUCAUGCACGAAAGCGUGGGGAGCAAACAGGAUUAGAUACCCCCGUAGUCCCUGUCUCUUAUAC